AUGCCUGUUGUUGAUUUAAAAUUGUACAGUUACUGCUCAACCUUCUUCUUGCCAUAUGAUCAUGUUCAGCUGUUGCCACUUAUCGCACUGUCAAGCGCUGUGAACAGAGGACAAACAAUUUGCAUUUGUGAAAUUUUAGUUUAGGGAUUCUGUUGCCGUUCGGCUUUACCUAAAGAUAUGUACAUUGUACAGUAUACAUAAUUAAGAGUUGUGGAAUACGGAAGGUAUCUUAGCAUAGUGCCUGAGGCAAUGGGAAAAAUCUACAUGUGGUUGUAGAAGAAGCAUCUUCGCUCUUGAUGACCACAUCUGGGUUCCAUUUCUUGACGGUAAUUUGUUCAGGUUCCUCUCAAAUUGCUGAGGUUGAUUUUUCAUUAGCAAAUGAGAGUAUUUGACUUUCAUUUCUAUCGUUUAUGUUCAGGUGAAAUUUGAUUUUUUUUUUUUAUUAUGCAUAACUAAUGUAAUUUGUCUGUGAUUUCAGCAUUCUUAUUCUCAAUUAUAGUUAUGUGUUUAUUUUUUUUAA
This is a long non-coding RNA of Dioscorea cayenensis subsp. rotundata (Guinea yam), 520 nucleotides long. RefSeq lists it as uncharacterized. NCBI's taxonomy places the organism in Eukaryota, Viridiplantae, Streptophyta, Magnoliopsida, Dioscoreales, Dioscoreaceae. The record is from RefSeq and is a predicted model, not a curated record. The transcript is spliced from 2 exons.